Molecule: ribosomal RNA, 422 nt
Filed under: uncultured bacterium
Lineage: Bacteria
Description: bacterial SSU rRNA
Rfam family: Bacterial small subunit ribosomal RNA
Source: RNAcentral
UAAGGAAUAUUGGUCAAUGGAGGCAACUCUGAACCAGCCAUGCCGCGUGAAGGAUUAAGGCCCUCUGGGUUGUAAACUUCUUUUAUAUGGGAAGAAAUGUUCUGAUUCCUCAGAGCUUGACGGUACCAUAGGAAUAAGCACCGGCUAACUCCGUGCCAGCAGCCGCGGUAAUACGGAGGGUGCAAGCGUUAUCCGGAUUCACUGGGUUUAAAGGGUGCGUAGGCGGACUAAUAAGUCAGUGGUGAAAGCCUGCAGCUUAACUGCAGAAUUGCCAUUGAUACUGUUAGUCUUGAGUACAGUUGAGGUAGGCGGAAUGUGUCAUGUAGCGGUGAAAUGCUUAGAUAUGACACAGAACACCGACUGCGAAGGCAGCUUGCUAAGCUGUAACUGACGCUGAGGCACGAAAGCGUGGGGAGCAAACA